AGUGAACGCUGGCGGUAGGCCUAACACAUGCAAGUCGAACGGCAGCACAGUAAGAGCUUGCUCUUACGGGUGGCGAGUGGCGGACGGGUGAGGAAUACAUCGGAAUCUACUUUUUCGUGGGGGAUAACGUAAGGAAACUUACGCUAAUACCGCAUACGACCUACGGGUGAAAGCAGGGGAUCUUCGGACCUUGCGCGAUUGAAUGAGCCGAUGUCGGAUUAGCUAGUUGGCGGGGUAAAGACCCACCAAGGCGACGAUCCGUAGCUGGUCUGAGAGGAUGAUCAGCCACACUGGAACUGAGACACGGUCCAGACUCCUACGGGAGGCAGCAGUGGGGAAUAUUGGACAAUGGGCGCAAGCCUGAUCCAGCCAUACCGCGUGGGUGAAGAAGGCCUUCGGGUUGUAAAGCCCUUUUGUUGGGAAAGAAAAGCAGCAGGUUAAUACCCCGCUGUUCUGACGGUACCCAAAGAAUAAGCACCGGCUAACUUCGUG
Molecule: ribosomal RNA, 492 nt
Filed under: uncultured bacterium
Lineage: Bacteria
Description: partial 16S ribosomal RNA
Rfam family: Bacterial small subunit ribosomal RNA
Source: RNAcentral